AAAGAAUAUGUUUUAUGAUUGCCAAGAGACUAAAUGACACAAAAAUUAACAACUAUAGGUCAUCAUAAUGCCCCAAAUAAUUAGAAAAGCCCCUGCAUAGUCAGCAAAGAUACCAGAGGGAGAGUCCCCGAAAUGCUGUGUGGCAGACAGUGUUAUUUAUAAAUUAUUAGCUCCCCUGGUAAAACUCCAAAUUUCAUAUUUAAUGUAUUUCAUUGUUAAAUAAUUUACAUGAAGCUUAAUAAGUAUAUAUUUGUUAAUUUUAUAGCUUUUGCUAUUUGAAUCCAUUGGUUAAAGAUAUUUAUUUAUAUUGUUAAGUUUAAUAUUUGCACCGAUGCAAAAUCUUUGGUUACCUUCUUUGGUUUCCUUCUGUCAGAAACUUAUAUAUUUUAUAGAUCACAAUGUAGAUUAAAUCAUCAAGUCAACGAGUCCCGUCUCAGUCUUUACAGCUAAACGGACGUGGUGGGCAAGCUCUCCUUUACCCGCUAUGAUAAAUGAGGGGUUACAGAUAGAUGAUCAACUACUGACUACUUUAGAUGACAGUAACCUAUCCAACGCAGUACAGUUAACGCAAAGGUUGGGCCGUCUCCCGCGUUAACAUGCACUCCAAAACCCAUUGUAUCAUGGGGAGUGUUAUGGCGAUUAACGUCCGAGGGCUGUAUCCUAGGUGUUAGAUGAUUGACCUUUAUUUCACUGCCUCACGGCUUUGGUCCUGAUAACGCUUCCUGUCAUCUUUAGAACUACGUCCAUGACUCAUCUACCAGUACUCCAUCGUC
Molecule: long non-coding RNA, 773 nt
Filed under: Mytilus galloprovincialis (Mediterranean mussel)
Lineage: Eukaryota; Metazoa; Mollusca; Bivalvia; Mytilida; Mytilidae
Source: RNAcentral